CUGGCGGCGUGCCUAUCAUGCAAGUCGAGCGGACCGACGGGAGCUUGCUCCCUUAGGUCAGCGGCGGACGGGUGAGUAACACGUGGGUAACCUGCCUGUAAGACUGGGAUAACUCCGGGAAACCGGGGCUAAUACCGGAUGCUUGAUUGAACCGCAUGGUUCAAUUAUAAAAGGUGGCUUUUAGCUACCACUUACAGAUGGACCCGCGGCGCAUUAGCUAGUUGGUGAGGUAACGGCUCACCAAGGCAACGAUGCGUAGCCGACCUGAGAGGGUGAUCGGCCACACUGGGACUGAGACACGGCCCAGACUCCUACGGGAGGCAGCAGUAGGGAAUCUUCCGCAAUGGACGAAAGUCUGACGGAGCAACGCCGCGUGGAGUGAUGAAGGUUUUCGGAUCGUAAAACUCUGUUGUUAGGGAAGAACAAGUACCGUUCGGAAUAGGGCGGUACCUUGACGGUACCUAACCAGAAAGCCACGGCUAACUACGUGCCAGCAGCCGCGGUAAUACGUAGGUGGCAAGCGUUGUCCGGAAUUAUUGGGCGUAAAGCGCGCGCAGGCGGUUUCUUAAGUCUGAUGUGAAAGCCCCCGGCUCAACCGGGGAGGGUCAUUGGAAACUGGGGGAACUUGAGUGCAGAAAAAGGAGAGUGGAAUUCCACCGUGUAGCGGUGAAAUGCGUAAAAAAUUUUGGAAGAACCCCAGUGGCGAAGGCGACUCUCUGGUCUGUAACUGACGCUGAGGCGCGAAAGCGUGGGGAGCGAACAGGAUUAGAUACCCUGGUAGU
RNAcentral lists this ribosomal RNA (782 nucleotides) under Bacillus licheniformis. RNAcentral describes it as "bacterial SSU rRNA". It matches the Rfam family "Bacterial small subunit ribosomal RNA", at positions 36 to 794 of the family's 1533-position model. The record is from RNAcentral. Lineage: Bacteria; Bacillati; Bacillota; Bacilli; Caryophanales; Bacillaceae.